AGGGAAUAUUGCACAAUGGGCGAAAGCCUGAUGCAGCAACGCCGCGUGCGCGAUGACGGCCUUCGGGUUGUAAAGCGCUUUUCGGGGAGAUGAGGAAGGACAGUAUCCCCGGAAUAAGGCUCGGCUAACUACGUGCCAGCAGCCGCGGUAACACGUAGGAGCCAAGCGUUAUCCGAAUUCACUGGGCGUAAAGCGCGUGUAGGCGGCUUGGUAAGUUGGAUGUGAAAGCUCCUGGCUCAACUGGGAGAGGACGUUCGAUACUGCCGGGCUAGAGGGCGACAGAGGGAGGUGGAAUUCCCGGUGUAGUGGUGAAAUGCGUAGAUAUCGGGAGGAACACCAGUGGCGAAAGCGGCCUCCUGGGUCGCACCUGACGCUCAGACGCGAAAGCUAGGGGAGCGAACGG
This 403-nucleotide ribosomal RNA is filed under the name uncultured bacterium. Its description in RNAcentral is "bacterial SSU rRNA". It matches the Rfam family "Bacterial small subunit ribosomal RNA", at positions 356 to 775 of the family's 1533-position model. The record is from RNAcentral.